Schizosaccharomyces pombe (fission yeast) is the source of this 594-nucleotide non-coding RNA. Lineage: Eukaryota; Fungi; Ascomycota; Schizosaccharomycetes; Schizosaccharomycetales; Schizosaccharomycetaceae. The record is from the annotation of a GenBank genome assembly.
CAAGCGUUGCAUUCGUAUAAAUUGCUCUCGUAUUCGUUGUGUAAAUAAGCAUCCAAUUCAGCUAACGCAUGAUUCGUAAAUGUCCAAAUACCCUCUCUCUGUCUUAGCCAUCCAUCACGUUCAAACGUAUGUAAGUGAGACUCAAUAACACUAGGUGCCAAUCCCAUUUCUUUUCUCGAUAAUUUUUGGAUUUGCAGAGUCGUUAAUGAAUAUUGGUAAUCAUCACACUUCAUGAUCCAUUCGAUUAUCUUUCUCAUAAGUUCUAUCUGAACAGGAGGGUAAGGAGUAGCCAUUUGGGAUACUGGGUCUCCAGAUAAAUUCUGAAAGUGCAGCGUUAAUCUUCCAUCCAGUUGAUCCUGUACUCGUUUUAUCUUAAAAUCGAAAUUGUGCAAAGAAUUGUUCAAUUCAUUUAUUACAUCUUCUACAGUUGCCGUUUCUCCAUACUGCUCUUGAACAAGUUCACGAACUUGUUCAUUAUCAACACCAGCUGUGCGACACAUUAUAUAUUGAAGAAUGAAUUUAUGCUUGUCAGAUAAUCCAUCUUGUCUCUCUUUCUCCAUACCGUUUAUUCCUUUUUUUGUAUUUCUACUAUUU